CAUCACUGAGGAACCCGACAUUUGCUGCUAAACAUUGAACAGGAGAGGAUUGUCACUAUGCUCUCUAAAUCUGUCGUCCUUUGUCUGGUUUUGGGCGCGCUGAGCAGCUCUGGGAAAUCUACAGGCUGGCCCAAGUUGUGCAAAACGGAUGCUGACUGCUCGCAUUACUUUCCCUACUGCGGAGAGGGCAAAUGUCGCCCGGUUACAACAUCCUGCAUUUCCGGCGAACGCGGCGUUGCCGGAUGUAACAGAUGUAACUGUGUACGUCACGGCUGGGCUUGUACCUACAUUAACUGCCCGUCAUAUAAGCAUAAAGGAGCGGUACCGUGUCGGCUGGCAAGAGACCUGUCACUGUGCCGUUAAAUAUCUUCGGCACUGCUUCGGCAGCUUCAGCUGGAAUUGCAAGAGAACAGCCACCACUUUCAGAGGCAGCUUUGGAGCUGGUAAUGGGAGUUUCUGAACGUGUGAAAAAUCCGCGCACAAAAAAA
This 488-nucleotide long non-coding RNA is filed under the name Pollicipes pollicipes. RNAcentral describes it as "uncharacterized LOC119096183". The record is from RNAcentral. Lineage: Eukaryota; Metazoa; Arthropoda; Thecostraca; Pollicipedomorpha; Pollicipedidae.